AGAGCGGGUCACGUGAGCGCCUCGCCUGGAUGUGAGUUUCAGCCAGACCUGUGGAUAUCUGGGCUUUGGGCUGUAUGAUCAUUGAGAUGGCCACUGGAAAUCCCUAUCUUCCUAGUAGUUCUGAUUUGGAUUUACUCCAUAAAAUUGUUUUGAAAGUGGGCAAUUUGUCACCUCACUUGCAGAAUAUCUUUUCCAAGAGCCCCAUUUUUGCUGGGGUAGUUCUUCCUCAAGUUCAACACCCCAAAAAUGCAAGAAAAAAAUACCCAAAGCUUAAUGGAUUGUUGGCAGAUAUAGUUCAUAGACGGGGUUUCACCAUGUUGGCUAUGGUUGGCCAGGCUGGUCUUGAACUCCUGAGCUUAGGUGAUCCGCCCACCUCAGCCUCCCAAAGUGCUGGGAUUACAGGCAUGAGUCACCGCGCCCAGGCAGUUCAUG
Molecule: small RNA, 432 nt
Filed under: Pongo abelii (Sumatran orangutan)
Lineage: Eukaryota; Metazoa; Chordata; Mammalia; Primates; Hominidae
Description: processed transcript
Source: RNAcentral